This 369-nucleotide ribosomal RNA is filed under the name uncultured bacterium. RNAcentral describes it as "bacterial SSU rRNA". It matches the Rfam family "Bacterial small subunit ribosomal RNA", at positions 527 to 896 of the family's 1533-position model. The record is from RNAcentral.
GUAGGGUGCGAGCGUUAAUCGGAAUUACUGGGCGUAAAGCGUGCGCAGGCGGUUUUGUAAGACAGGCGUGAAAUCCCCGGGCUUAACCUGGGAAUUGCGCUUGUGACUGCAAGGCUAGAGUGCGUCAGAGGGGGGUAGAAUUCCACGUGUAGCAGUGAAAUGCGUAGAGAUGUGGAGGAAUACCGAUGGCGAAGGCAGCCCCCUGGGACGUGACUGACGCUCAUGCACGAAAGCGUGGGGAGCAAACAGGAUUAGAUACCCUGGUAGUCCACGCCCUAAACGAUGUCAACUAGUUGUUGGGGAUUCAUUUUCUCAGUAACGUAGCUAACGCGUGAAGUUGACCGCCUGGGGAGUACGGCCGCAAGAUUA